CUUGCUAGACUGUCAGCUAAGUGGCGCACGGGUGAGUAAUAUAUAGGUAACCUACCCCGAAGAGCGGGAUAACAGUUGGAAACGGCUGCUAAUACUGCAUACUCCUUUUGACCACAAGGUUGAAAGGGAAACGAAUUUUGCUUCGGGAUGGGCCUUUAUCGCAUCAGCUAGUUGGUAAGGUAAUGGCUUACCAAGGCUUUGACGCGUAGCUGAUCUGAGAGGAUGAUCAGCCACACUGGUACUGAGACACGGACCAGACUCC
This 262-nucleotide ribosomal RNA is filed under the name uncultured bacterium. Its description in RNAcentral is "partial 16S ribosomal RNA". It matches the Rfam family "Bacterial small subunit ribosomal RNA", at positions 63 to 339 of the family's 1533-position model. The record is from RNAcentral.